GAUGAAGAACGCAGCGAAAUGCGAUAAGUAAUGUGAAUUGCAGAAUUCAGUGAAUCAUCGAAUCUUUGAACGCACAUUGCGCCCGCCAGUAUUCUGGCGGGCAUGCCUGUUCGAGCGUCAUUACAACCCUCAGGCCCCCGGGCCUGGCGUUGGGGAUCGGCGGAAGCCCCCUGCGGGCACAACGCCGUCCCCCAAAUACAGUGGCGGUCCCGCCGCAGCUUCCAUUGCGUAGUAGCUAACACCUCGCAACUGGAGAGCGGCGCGGCCACGCCGUAAAACACCCAACUUCUGAAUGUUGACCUCGAAUCAGGUAGGAAUACCCGCUGAACUUAAGCAUAUCAAAAGCGGAGGA
RNAcentral lists this unclassified non-coding RNA (352 nucleotides) under soil metagenome. Its description in RNAcentral is "partial contains 5.8S ribosomal RNA, internal transcribed spacer 2, and large subunit ribosomal RNA". The stretch from base 1 to 120 matches the Rfam family "5.8S ribosomal RNA", at positions 35 to 154 of the family's 154-position model. The record is from RNAcentral.